GCGAAAGUGGCGAAAUUGGUAGACGCGCUAGCUUCAGGUGCUAGUACCGCAAGGCGUGAGGGUUCGAGUCCCUCCUUUCGCA
Molecule: transfer RNA, 82 nt
Filed under: Succinatimonas hippei YIT 12066
Lineage: Bacteria; Pseudomonadati; Pseudomonadota; Gammaproteobacteria; Aeromonadales; Succinivibrionaceae
Rfam family: tRNA
About the family: Transfer RNA (tRNA) molecules are approximately 80 nucleotides in length. Their secondary structure includes four short double-helical elements and three loops (D, anti-codon, and T loops). Further hydrogen bonds mediate the characteristic L-shaped molecular structure. tRNAs have two regions of fundamental functional importance: the anti-codon, which is responsible for specific mRNA codon recognition, and the 3' end, to which the tRNAs corresponding amino acid is attached (by aminoacyl-tRNA synthetases). tRNAs cope with the degeneracy of the genetic code in two manners: having more than one tRNA (with a specific anti-codon) for a particular amino acid; and 'wobble' base-pairing, i.e. permitting non-standard base-pairing at the 3rd anti-codon position.
Source: Rfam by way of RNAcentral